This 497-nucleotide ribosomal RNA is filed under the name uncultured bacterium. Its description in RNAcentral is "partial 16S ribosomal RNA". It matches the Rfam family "Bacterial small subunit ribosomal RNA", at positions 28 to 507 of the family's 1533-position model. The record is from RNAcentral.
GACGAACGCUGGCGGCGUGCCUAAUACAUGCAAGUUGAGCGAUGAAGCUUGGUGCUUGCACCAAUUUGAAGAGCAGCGAACGGGUGAGUAACGCGUGGGGAAUCUGCCUUUGAGCGGGGGACAACAUUUGGAAACGAAUGCUAAUACCGCAUAACAACUUUAAACAUAAGUUUUAAGUUUGAAAGAUGCAAUUGCAUCACUCAAAGAUGAUCCCGCGUUGUAUUAGCUAGUUGGUGAGGUAAAGGCUCACCAAGGCGAUGAUACAUAGCCGACCUGAGAGGGUGAUCGGCCGCAUUGGGACUGAGACACGGCCAAAACUCCUACGGGAGGCAGCAGUAGGGAAUCUUCGGCAAUGGACGAAAGUCUGACCGAGCAACGCCGCGUGAGUGAAGAAGGUUUUCGGAUCGUAAAACUCUGUUGGUAGAGAAGAACGUUGGUGAGAGUGGAAAGCUCAUCAAGUGACGGUAACUACCCAGAAAGGGACGGCUAACUACGUG